Molecule: long non-coding RNA, 1045 nt
Organism: Chenopodium quinoa (quinoa)
Lineage: Eukaryota; Viridiplantae; Streptophyta; Magnoliopsida; Caryophyllales; Amaranthaceae
Exons: 2
Source: RefSeq, a predicted model, not a curated record
GCUUAGGAACAUCUUUUUUCUAAUAAACGUCUCUAGAGACGGUGAUUGAAGAAGUUUCGGUGUCAAAUUUUAAUAAAAGAACAAAAAAAUGUUUUGAACUGACCGAGUUUACGGCUCUUGCUUAUUAUAUUCUAAAUCAAGUGGAUACAACAACACAAAUUAAUUAAAUAGACUCCAGAAAAAAACAAUAACAUUAUGUCAUUAUACUUGUACUUUGUAAAAUGGAAAACUAAAACAAAUAAACGAUUGGUAACUUAAUUAUCCUGAAAUUCUAAUUAAACCUUCCAUAUCUACAUAUUAUAAUACCUUCACACACCUGCCACGAAAUUUUCAAUCAAUUCUGUUUCUUAUAUUUAGUCCUUGUUUCUUCAUUAGAUUAGUGGGUUGAAAUUAAUUGGGGAUCAAAAUUGUGUCAAGUAUGCUUUUAAUAGCCUUGCUAGCCAGUAUAGCCUUGACUACAAAGUACCUUGAGAUUGCAAACGGCCGACUAAUACUCUCCCUGUCAAAUGGGUUUGUCCAGCAACCAUUGCCAGAGACCCUCCCUAGACGACCCACAAGGAUGCUAGAGACUGUUAGCAGAUGGCGAAGACCACCAGUUGGCACACCGCCACCACCACAGAGGGCUCCAGGACAAAUGCAACAAGCACCACCACCUCCACUUAUCUACAGGUGACAUUAUUGGGGAUUUUAAGGCUAUCAUCUUCACGGUUUACCAUCUCCAUCAACUCUAGUAGAUGCAUGAUUCUGACAUUGAGACGUUCAACCACCAUCCCCACUUGAGGAUGUUUAGGGAACCUCCAAAUAGAUUCCCACCAGGUCAAUUUUGUAUCGACGACCACUGUACAAUUUCUCCUGCAGAGCAUUAAGCACCAUUGCUGUCACCUAUCAUUCCUAUAUUUUUUUUCUAUGUUAUGCACUACUCAUAGUACGUUUCCUGUAUUUAUAUCUAUGAGGAUAUGUCAGUUUAGAUGGCUUGGCUAAAUCUGUUUAUUUUAUUUUUCUACAUCUUAUCUGUGUUGCUAUUUAUUUGGUCAUUUUGCUCUAA